UAGAGUUUGAUCAUGGCCCAGGACGAACGCUGGCGGCGUGCCUAAUACAUGCAAGUAGAACGCUGAAGAGAGGAGCUUGCUCUUCUUGGAUGAGUUGCGAACGGGUGAGUAACGCGUAGGUAACCUGCCUUGUAGCGGGGGAUAACUAUUGGAAACGAUAGCUAAUACCGCAUAACAAUGGAUGACACAUGUCAUUUAUUUGAAAGGGGCAAUUGCUCCACUACAAGAUGGACCUGCGUUGUAUUAGCUAGUAGGUGAGGUAAUGGCUCACCUAGGCGACGAUACAUAGCCGACCUGAGAGGGUGAUCGGCCACACUGGGACUGAGACACGGCCCAGACUCCUACGGGAGGCAGCAGUAGGGAAUCCUCGGCAAUGGGGGCAACCCUGACCGAGCAACGCCGCGUGAGUGAAGAAGGUUUUCGGAUCGUAAAGCUCUGUUGUAAGUCAAGAACGGGUGUGAGAGUGGAAAGUUCACACUGUGACGGUAGCUUACCAGAAAGGGACGGCUAACUACGUGCCAGCAGCCGCGGUAAUACGUAGGUCCCGAGCGUUGUCCGGAUUUAUUGGGCGUAAAGCGAGCGCAGGCGGUUUGAUAAGUCUGAAGUUAAAGGCUGUGGCUCAACCAUAGUUCGCUUUGGAAACUGUCAAACUUGAGUGCAGAAGGGGAGAGUGGAAUUCCAUGUGUAGCGGUGAAAUGCGUAGAUAUAUGGAGGAACACCGGUGGCGAAAGCGGCUCUCUGGUCUGUAACUGACGCUGAGGCUCGAAAGCGUGGGGAGCGAACAGGAUUAGAUACCCUGGUAGUCCACGCCGUAAACGAUGAGUGCUAGGUGUUGGAUCCUUUCCGGGAUUCAGUGCCGCAGCUAACGCAUUAAGCACUCCGCCUGGGGAGUACGACCGCAAGGUUGAAACUCAAAGGAAUUGACGGGGGCCCGCACAAG
This 940-nucleotide ribosomal RNA is filed under the name uncultured Streptococcus sp. RNAcentral describes it as "bacterial SSU rRNA". It matches the Rfam family "Bacterial small subunit ribosomal RNA", at positions 1 to 929 of the family's 1533-position model. Lineage: Bacteria; Bacillati; Bacillota; Bacilli; Lactobacillales; Streptococcaceae. The record is from RNAcentral.